GACGUAGGGCGCGAGCGUUGUCCGGAUUUCUUGGGCGUAAAGAGCUCGUAGGCGGCUUGUUGCGUCGACUGUGAAAACCCGCGGCUUAACUGCGGGCUUGCAGUUGAUACGGGCAGGCUAGAGUUCGGUAGGGGAGACUGGAAUUCCUGGUGUAGCGGUGAAAUGCGCAGAUAUCAGGAGGAACACCGGUGGCGAAGGCGGGUCUCUGGGCCGAUACUGACGCUGAGGAGCGAAAGCGUGGGGAGCGAACAGG
Molecule: ribosomal RNA, 253 nt
Filed under: uncultured bacterium
Lineage: Bacteria
Description: partial 16S ribosomal RNA
Rfam family: Bacterial small subunit ribosomal RNA
Source: RNAcentral